Molecule: ribosomal RNA, 473 nt
Filed under: uncultured bacterium
Lineage: Bacteria
Description: partial 16S ribosomal RNA
Rfam family: Bacterial small subunit ribosomal RNA
Source: RNAcentral
AGUGAACGCUGGCGGUAGGCCUAACACAUGCAAGUCGAACGGCAGCACAGUAAGAGCUUGCUCUUACGGGUGGCGAGUGGCGGACGGGUGAGGAAUACAUCGGAAUCUACUUUUUCGUGGGGGAUAACGUAGGGAAACUUACGCUAAUACCGCAUACGACCUACGGGUGAAAGCAGGGGAUCUUCGGACCUUGCGGGUAUGGAUGAGCCGGCGGCGUAUUAGCUAGUUGGGGGGGUAGUGGCCCACCAAGGCGACGAUCGGUAGCUGGCCUGAGAGGAUGACCGGCCACAUUGGCACUGAGAGACGGCCCAGACGGGUACGGGAGGCAGCAGUGGGGAAUAUUGCACAAUCGGCGCAAGCCGGAUGAAGCAACGCUUCGUGUGGGAUGACGGUUUUGUGGGGGAAAAAAGCCUGCAGUAGGGGCGACGCUUGUGGUGACGGUACCUAAAGAAGAAGCACCGGCUAACUACGUG